AUUGAACGCUGGCGGCAGGCCUAACACAUGCAAGUCGAACGAGUGGCGGACGGGUGAGUAAUGUUUGGGAAACUGCCCGAUGGAGGGGGUUAACUACUGGAAACGGUAGCUAAUACCGCAUACCAUCGGAUGUGCCCAGAUGGGAUUAGCUAGUAGGUGGGGUAAUGGCUCACCUAGGCGACGAUCCCUAGCUGGUCUGAGAGGGUGACCGGCCACACUGGAACUGAGACACGGUCCAGACUCCUACGGGAGGCAGCAGUAGGGAAUAUUGCACAAUGGGCGCAAGCCUGAUGCAGCCAUGCCGCGUGUAUGAAGAAGGCCUUCGGGUUGUAAAGUAAUUUCAGCGAGGAGGCGGUACUCGCAGAAGAAGCAACGGCUAACUCCGUGCCAGCAGCCGCGGUAAUUC
RNAcentral lists this ribosomal RNA (406 nucleotides) under uncultured bacterium. RNAcentral describes it as "partial 16S ribosomal RNA". It matches the Rfam family "Bacterial small subunit ribosomal RNA", at positions 30 to 526 of the family's 1533-position model. The record is from RNAcentral.